Molecule: ribosomal RNA, 292 nt
Filed under: uncultured bacterium
Lineage: Bacteria
Description: partial 16S ribosomal RNA
Rfam family: Bacterial small subunit ribosomal RNA
Source: RNAcentral
GUGCCAGCCGCCGCGGUAAUACGAACCGAGCGAACGUUGUUCGGAAUCACUGGGCUUAAAGGGCGCGUAGGCGGGUGCUCAAGUCUGUGGUGAAAUCCUCCGGCUCAACCGGAGAACGGCCAUGGAUACUGGGUGCCUCGAGGGUGAUAGGGGUAUGCGGAACUAUCGGUGGAGCGGUGAAAUGCGUUGAUAUCGAUAGGAACUCCGGUGGCGAAGGCGGCAUACUGGAUCACUUCUGACGCUGAGGCGCGAAAGCCAGGGGAGCGAACGGGAUUAGAAACCCGCGUAGUCC